Long non-coding RNA from Pteropus alecto (black flying fox), 10702 nucleotides. RefSeq lists it as uncharacterized. The record is from RefSeq and is a predicted model, not a curated record. Lineage: Eukaryota; Metazoa; Chordata; Mammalia; Chiroptera; Pteropodidae. The transcript has 2 exons.
GGGCCUGGGUCUCUUAUCCGCCUGCCGUUGUUCCCCGCUCAGCCGGGGGCGCCAUGUCCCAGGCACAACUUUCUUUUGCUCACUUUGCACGGGGAUGGGGGACUAGGAGGAGGUAAAGGGCAUCCUCUGCUGGGCGCACAGCGACCCCCCAGCCCUGACCAGGAUUCACGCGUGUCCCCGAUUGCAGCAUCUUUGUAUGCACGGGUCCCCCGCCUCCCUGUCGCACCCUCGGGCCGUUGGUUCUAGGUGGGUGUGUCAGCCCGACCAGCCCAGAAAGGCUUAGCGAUUUCCAGCCUUUCUCUCGUCUGAGUAACCGGACACAUUGUCUUGGUCCCCUCUCUGGCCCUCGAUGAAAUCUCCACUCAGUCAACAGGGCAAAGGGCAAACUGGUGCUGGGAAAAUGGGGUCAUCUCCAUAGUGCCCAGAUAAAAGUACAGGAUGGGCGGUCUCCCCUCUCACUCUUCAAGCAUCAGCUCUGUCCCUGAAACUUUCGGGUGUGGAGCCACUAGACUAAAAUGCAGGAAUCCCCAUGCCCGGCUUCUGCCCUAGAUCAACAUUUCACAUCUGUGUUUGUAAGGUGUGUAUUUGUGUACCUAGCUCGGCACAAGAUUGGGUACCACAGAGAUCCAGCUGGCUCUGGAAGAAUACCCUUGUAUUUUGAAAAUAGGUGACAGUAUUAGGGGUGCACUGAAGCAGCAUAAGCUGCAAGUUCCCUGCUGCUCUUACAUGCGCCAAAGCCAAUUUCUUGUCUUUGUAUUUCUGAGAAACUCAUGUCACACUGAAUAGCCGGAGGUAUAGCAUUGAAAUCCAGCUUGCCCUGAAUUAUUUAUUUUGUAGAAAAUUAAAAUCUUAGUUCAGAAAAUUCAGGGCCUGGGCAGGGCUGGAGUAUUCAAAGUUCGAACUGACGCUUUUGAGUUGGGGACAAUAGUAAUCAGAUACGUCACCCUUGUCUAAAUAAUGGCUGCGGAAUCCAGCUGCAUAUAUUAUUCUGCACUAAUACUGUUAUGAAUAAUAACCUGAAAUGGAAAUGUCUGCCUCAGAGCAAUUAGAGUUAAUGCUUACCCAAGUUUUAGAUGUUUUUCCAUUAAAAUGCUAAGAGCCAGGGAAAGGAAAGCACAUCUCUCUCAACUGUUUGGUUUUUGGAAAUAUAAAAAAUUAAACAAACCUUUAACUAUUGAUACUACCAGGAAAAAACAAGUCCUGUUUAAAAGUGCCAUUAAGAAACAAUGUCAGUGUCCCUUGGAAUCACUUACUUUGUGAUUUUCACAUGUUUAGAAUAUAGGAUUCCUUUAGGCCCUGCUCAAAUACCCUUUUAUUAAAAACUUUAGACCUUUUGGAAAGGGUUUGACUGAUUUCUAAACUGAAGAAUGGCCUUGUAGGAUGGUUAGUACCUCCUUCAGGCUUAAGUGCAAACUUUCACUUGUCAGAGGAGCCUGAGUUGAUCAGUGUUGAAAUGUUCCUUUCCUGACUCUAAGGGGUGGAAGAAGGGAUGGAAAAGGUCAGUAACAAUUGCUGUGAGUCAGUGCUAUUCCCCUUGCUGGAACACCCCUGAUGUAAGCCAGAUAAUAUGCCGCUGGGUUUGCAAGAUUAAAAAUGGUAACUAGAGAGAGGAAAAAUGUUCCUCCUUUAAACCCAGCAAUUCUCUCGUUUUCUUUCCUUUUGUAAACCCUAUACUUUUGGCUCCUAAUUGAAAAAUAAUAAUACAACCUAAGCAUCAGCAGGAUUUCUAGAGCUACAUGGUUAUUUGUACGUUCGGGCUUGCUGUCAGCUCAUUCAGGACAUGUUAUUAUCCCUAAUUUUGUUGAAUCACAGUUAGAAGAGACACCAUAGGUUAUCUCUUUCUGAACUUCAUCAUUAUUUCCUUGAGGAUAGAGGUUGUGUAUUUGGAUUUAUCUUUGUGGCUAAAAUACCUGGCACAUUAGAGGUGCUCCAUAAAUACUUAAUACAUUAAGCCACCCCUUAAUUUAACCAUUUAUUUUGCUAUAUAGAUGCAAAAUGAUCGUCUGGUUUCACUGCCAUUUUCAGGGACCUCUCUAUCCCAUGAAGCAACUUUUGGGCAACUUUUCUUUUAAAAAAUCAUAUUAAGCCUGAAUCUGCCCACUUGUAAUUUCUACAAACUAUCGUUAGUUCUGACUUCUUGAAAUAUAUGAAUAACUAUGUUUCCUUUUUCUGAAAUAUUUUAAUGAUUUUAAGCAUGUGGACUCGUGUAUCUGUUAGAAAAGGUUGGGUAAUGCCACAGUAACAAGCAAUCCCCAAAUGUCAAUGCCUUAAUCAAACAAUAACAAUUCAUUUCUUGCUCCUGCUACUUAGCCAGCAUGAAUGAGCCGGGCAGGUCUGUUCAUCACUGCCCUUCAGAGACCUAGACUGAUGGAGGUUCCAUGACCACACAGUCAUGGUGGGAAAAGCAUGUGGCAAAUUGUGCACAAUCUCUUCAGCUCCCACACUGAAGUCAUGAAUAUGACUUAUGCUCACAUUUCAUUGGCCAGAGCAAAUCAUCAGUCUGUGUCCAACUUCAAAAGAUUUGGGAGAGUGCAAUCUUACCACGAUCUUGUUAGAGAGGGAUUAGAAAUAUAUAUUUAGAAAAUUGCUUCAGUAUCUCUCCCAGAUCUGGGGAUGGACUACUGGGUAAAACCUGGCUCAACUCUUAAAAAUUAUGAGACUAUAACCAUGUAUCUUGGACUACUUUCCACAUAAUAAGUACUCAAUACGUAUUAAUUGGUAUUACUCUUUGAUUUUUACUGCUCUAUAUGUGUUCCUAACUUCAUCUUUUCCUUGUAUGAUCAUUUUCAUCAUUUUGAUUUCCUUUUCAGGGUUUACUUUAUUUUGUAAAUAUUCUUUCGAAAAUACAAUGCCCAGAACCGAACACAGUGCUCCAGAUGGGAUAUGGCCAUGGCAAAGUGAAUUAGGCUAGUUAACUUCCUUGAUUUAUAUGCACCAUAUGCUUCUAUAGUACAAGAUUACACCUGAUAAUUCAGUGUCCAUAUCCUACUAUUGUCUCCAUAGUAAAUUCCUAUCAUUCAAGCCUUCAGAAACUUUUCCACAUAAGCUCUCCACUCUAUGCUGGUACAACUGAACUUAGAACCAAAAGGAGAGAGGGAACACUAACUGUAGAAUUUUAUUUUUCUUCCCACUAUAAUAUUCAUCACCAUCUGAGUUCAUCUUUCUAUUAUACCAUGAUAAUUUUGAACCUUAAUUCUGUGAUAUAGCAUCCCUACCCCAAGUUUUGGACCAUCUGCAGAUUUGAUAGUGAGUCCUUCUCUAUAAGUACUUUCUAUGUACCUAGCAUAAAUACAUAUCCCCCUCCCUUUUAUUUUCUCUUAAAGAAAAUGAUUUUAUAGAUAAAAGAAUCAAAAAUCAGGGACUCUAAGUGGUUAGCCCCAGAUCACAUAGAUCAUAAGUGGUGAGCCAGAAUUCAAACUGAUUUUUUCUAAUUGCAGAAUCCAUCCUCUUCCCAGACUGAGAGGCUGCUUUAUUUAAAUUUAAUGAGCCUGACCAUUGUGUCUGCACCUGACAUGUUACUAUAAUGCAGAGCAAGGACAUCUUUCCACAUGUCUCUAGAAACCUUCCUUCAUCUUGCCACCAGCCCAAAUAUUCAUGAUGCUUGGAAAGCAUUUGCUCAGCCUUUAAGUACAAUAACUGCAAAAUCCUUGUUCUUCCAAGUUGAUUGCAAAAUUAUCAAAAAAGGUUUUUAAAAAAUGUCUUGGUAAACUCAAAAUAUGCUUUGUCUCUAGCAUAUCUACUCAUUAGUCCCACCAUUAGAAAAUGAGUUUAGUUAAUUAAUCAAUAAAUUAUGAAAGAAUUAAAUAAUAAAAGUGUUUGGUAGAAUAAAAAAAUAAAAAUAUUUCUGAGUUAUACUACGAAUGCCAAAUUCCACGUUUGAGAUAUGAUGAGGUAUUUAUAUUGUGGUUCUGGACCUAUCUGUAAACACCUUGUUAAAUUUUAUAGUUUGAUUUUUCUCAUGAUAGGUGUUCAUACUGCCAAAAUCCUCCAUCCUCCAUGGUUGGCUCACAUAUUUUUUGUUAAUAAUUUUUGACAGUAGGAGCAUUAAAAACAAUUCUAAGUGAAAAGUAAAUAUUCUCCAUCAUUUCUCGAGAUGGUUCCCAGAAUCUAGCAGUGAAAUUACUAAAGGGAGGAGAAUUAUGUUAUAUGGUCAGCCAAGAGCAAAUGAUACUGCAGAGACUCUCAUCCAGCGAAAACAUAGUAAUGACAUAUGAUUACAAGGGUCUAUUGAUAACUCCCUCUCAGGAGCUGUGGGUCAUUUCUAGUUCCCUGCUUCCCACGUGGGCCACUUUUGUGUAAGAUGUUCCCUUUAUGAAGUCAACAGGGGUUCUAGGUGUUGAAGGAGAGCAUUCAAAACCAAUAAGAUGUGUCUCUUUGCUUUUUCACUAUUUUUCAUUUGCUCUUUUGGUCCUGGGCGAAAAGUUUUCAAAAUGAUUCAGAGACACUGAAGUUCUCCUCCUUAGCCCGCAUAAGGAAAGAUGGCUGAAAAUAGAAUCCUAGGUUUAUAAAGCCCUCUGGAGUCAUCCGAAUCCAAACCCUGCAGUGUAAAUUAAUUUUACCAGGCUCCUCUGACAAGUGAAAGUUUGCAUUUAGACUAGGAAAAAAAAAGGUGCUUGCUUACCUGGCCCUUAGGCCACACUUGAAUCUGGGAGUGUACUCACUUCUCCAAAAUUGGAAAUGUUUGAAACCUUUCAGAACUUUUGUUUAGUUUGACACUGGGCAUUUGAGGAGAGCAUAAAAAAAUGUGUCUUCCAAGUAAUGCUUCGAUUGGCAGAGUUCCCUCAAAGUAAUGGUCCCUGGAGUUAGGAUUUUGCUGACGGCUCUUGUAAGUAAUGUUUAAGACAGCUAGAGACUGCCUGUGUUGCUUUUCUGUCAGUGAUUUCUAUUGCUGAUUCUCCUUAUGAUUUAUUUCCACUGGGCAUUAUCCCUUCAACUAAUAUUUCUGUGAGAUAGUGGAUAACGCUUACUAGGAAUAGGAAAUCUGGCUGAGGAGAAUGCAAUCUGUGACUGGAAGCUUAGCCUUCCAUUUUUGAGGGGAGGCAAAAAUUCCAUUUAGGUGUAUGAACGCUUUUUAAAUAUUAAACUUCUAGGAAAAUGUAAUAUUAAAAUUUAUCUGUACUCUUAACGUGGACUCAUAUGACAUUCACAAAACAGUUCUACUCCGCCAAAAGAAUGAGAUGAGGCAGAAAAGAAAACUAAACCCCAAAUAACUGCAUAAGGCAUUAGCACUCUCAGCUAAUGGAGACCCAGCCUUUAACCAGCUAUCCCACUUGGGCACGUUACCUCUUUUCUCUCUGAGUUUUAGUUUCUCUUUUUCUAAAGUUAGGGGACUAGACCAAAUGGUCACUUUGGUAAUAGUCUAUAAACUUUUUUGAUUGUGCAUCUCUAUGCAAAAAUUUUCGAGCAUGUUCUCUAUGCAUGUAUAUGUACCCACUUGCGCAUUGAUAUAAAUUAUGUACAAAUAAUGUACUAAUAUCUCGUGAUCUUGAUACAAUACGAAUAAAGGUAAAACUAGGAAGGAAGAGAUAUUAUCAGAAAUACAAACAGAAAUCCUGAUAUUUUUCCUUGUACCUCAGUAGCUCAUCUUCACUACCUAGUUGGCUGAAUGCUUGUAUGACCAAAGCCAUAAGUCAGUGUUUCUAAUAUUAGAGUCACUAAUGAGUUCAUUGUCAUUUCCAGUUCUUCAAAGAUAUAUGUUUUUUUAUGGACUAGUAUCUAAGAGAAAAAUUCAAAACUAUUGAAGGCCGCAAUGAGGCUACAGACUCGGUGCUGGUUAGCGGUCAGUGUACUAGGUUAUCCAAUUUGUGGGCAUAGAGUUUUUCAUAAUAUUCCUCUAUUAUUCUUAUAAUAUCCAUGGGAUCUGUAGCAAUGUCUCCUCUUUUAUUUCUGUUGUUAGUAAUUUGUGUCUUCUCUCCUUUUUUCUUAGUUAUCCUGACUGUAAGCUUAUUGAUUAUUGACCUUUUCGAAGAACCAACUCCUGGUUUUGUUAAUCUUCUUUAUUGAUUUCUUGUUUUCAGUUUCAUUGAUUUAUGUUCUAAUUUCUAUUCUGUCUUUUCUUCUGCUUACCUUGGACUUAAUUUGUCUUCUUUUUCUAGUUUCCUAAGAUGAAAGCUUACACUAUUGACUUUAGGCCUUUUUUUCCCUAAUAUAUGCAUUUUAUGUUAUAAAUUUCCCUCUAAGCACUGUAUUUUUACUUUUAUUUAGCUCAAAAUAUUUUAAAUUAAUUUUGAUGUUAUACAUCUCACUUAUAAGCAUACAUAUAUAUGUAUACACAUGCAUAACUGAAUACGCUGCUGCUAUUAUUUUGGAUUAAUUUAUGUUAGAUCAGUUAAGAAAAAUGAAAGUUUUUAUUUUAUUUUGUCUUCAGUUAUUCUUUCUUCAGUACUCUUCCUUUUUUAAAUGUAGGUCCAAGUUUCUGACCUAUGUCAUUUUCUUUCUCUCUGAAGAACUUUUAACAUUUCUGGUAAGACAGAUCUACAAAUUCAUAGCCAACAAAUUUCCUCAUUUUUGUUUGUCUAAGAAAGUCUUUAUUUCUCCCUCAUUUUCGAAGGAUAUUUCCCAAGGUCAGAAUUUUAGGCUGGUUUUUCUUUGAACACAUUAUAUAUUUCACUCUAUUUUCUUCUUGCAUGGGUGGUUUCUGAGAAGUUAGAUGUAAUUCUUACCCUUGCUUCUCUUUAGGUAAGGUGUUUUUUCCUCUGGCUUCUUAGAAGGUUUUUUCUUUAUCUCUGAUUUUCUGUGAUUUGAAUAGGAUGUGCCUAGAUAUAGUUGUUUUCAUUUUGUUUUGUUUUGAUAUCCUCUGAGCUUCUUUGAUCUGUGGUUUGGUGUUUGACAUUAAUUUAGUGUUUGAUGUUAAUUUUCUUCACCUUUUGGUAUUCCCAUUAUGCAUGUUACACUUUUUGUGGUUGACCCAUAGUUCUUGGGUAUUUUGUUAUGGUUUAUUUAGUCUUUUUUUCUUUUUGCUCAGUUUUGGAAGUUUCUAUUAUUAUAUCCUCAAAUUCAGAGAUUCUUUCCUCCAUCCUGUCUAGCUUAGUAAAGAGCCCAUCAAAGGCAUUCUUCAUACAGUGUUUUUUAUUUCUAGCAUUUUUUGAUUCUUUAGAAUUUCCAUCUCUUUGCUUACAUUAUCUAUCUGUUCUUACAUGUUAUCUACUUUUUCAUUGAAGCAUAUUAAUUAUAAUUUUUCUAAAUACUUGGUCUAAUAAUUCCAACAUUCCUGCCAUAUCCCACUCUGGUUCUGACGUCUGUUCAGUAUCUUCAGACCAUGUUUUUUGCCUUUUGGUAUGCCUUGUGCUUUUUUAUUAAAAGGUGGAUACAACCAGUGGAUGAAAUGAACUCCAAUACAUACAACGUUAGUAAUAUAGUAGUAAGGCAUGGAGGGAUGGGAGCAUUCUAUAGUCUUAUGAUUAGGACUUAGUCUCCCGGUGAACUCAUGCCUGUGGACUGUGGACUUCACCAUGCUUCUCAGUGCCUGCCCCCCUUAGGUGGGACAGGAUGGAGGGAGGGGGCUGGAAUUGUGCAUUUCCCUUCUCUCACAUGGAAGGUCAGAGGUGGCUGAUAUGGAUUUCCUCCUUCCCCCUCAGGUAGGUUAGGCUCUGGGAAAAUAGUUUCUCCUGAAGGUGAGCUUUGUUAAGGAGAACAGAAUAGUCUGGUAUAUUUUGAAAUGGUUCCUUUUCCCCUCCCCCUGCCAGAAGCAGGAGGAGAUUUUUCUCUACUAUUCACCGUGAGGACCUAGUAGAGCUCUUGGAGGUGAUGGUCAUAACUGUGAGGGCCCUCCAAUAGUUGGGUCCCCCUGGAGUUUUUAACUCUUAGAAUUGUCCACACUGAGCCUCCAACAAUUUGUCAUCUACAGGUCAGGUUUUCCUGCCCUGGUUAGUUCCCAUGAAAGUGUUUGCUUGUGGGUUUCUGCUCAGGUAAGUGAUUCUCUGUAUCUACCUCUCUGUCUCCCCAAUUUUGGAGGCAGUGGCUUUCCCUGUGACUUCACCUUUCUGCUGGAUCUAAGAAGAGUUAUCGACUUGUCAGUUUGCUCAGCUUUUCACUUAUUGUUAAGAUGGAGCUCUUUACAUGAUGGACUGGAAACCCUAAACUAUAUUUUUAAACUUAAGUUGUUAGGGCAUCUUUUCAGAGCAUCAGAGAUUUUCUAAAGCAUUAUUUACAAUGGCUUUAUAGUACUCCAUUGUGAGAUAGUACAUAUUUAAUUACUAAUUACUUUUAAAUUGGAUAUUUAAGUUCUUUUUCAAUUUUGAUUUCACUUUUCUUUUGCUGUUGUAAAUAAGGAGACAAUUGACCAUCUUCUAGAUAAAUCUUUGUACAUAUUCAUUUCACUACUCUUGGACAAUGGAAAAUUCCUAGAGAUGUCCGCAUGUGGUAUGGUCAUUAUAUGCUACAGGAACACUGAGCAUGGGAUGGUCACUUCCUGCAUGACACCUCACAGGCAGGACUCUAAGUGUAUAAAGCCUGGAAAGCCUUUUGUGUAAAUUCUGUAAGAAAGAAGGGCACAGCCUGGACAACAUUGCUUAACAGCAGAUGAGAUUAAAGGUCACAAGAGCCAGGUAAGUGGGGACAAAGUAAAAGAUGUGGGAUGAAGAAGAUUUUAAAUCUUAGCUGGAGUUAAAACAUAGAAAGUUAAAGUUGUAAAAGGAGAUCAACCAAAGGAACAGAAUUUUUCUCUACCAAAGUCAUUCUAACCUUCAUCUCUUGGCAUUUUACUUUUCCUUGGGUUUGGAGGCACAAAUAUGAUGUCCAAGUUAUGUCCAAAAGAAAAGUUCCAUUUAUAGGUAACUAAUUUAUGCAAGACACUGUCUCUAAUUCUCAUGAUAACUCUACAAAAUAGGUAUUGAUAUCAACAUAGUGUGGAGGAGAAACUUAACCUCAGAGAAGUUACCUGUCGUCGUAUAAUCAUAUAAUUAGAAAUAAACAAAGUCAGGAUUUAAAUGCUAGGACUGUCUGAUUGCUUUUGACAUACCACUUUUCUGUUCUCCUUUUAUGUGGUAGCAGUUAAGCAUCGGUGCCAAAUGGGGUCCAGCACCUAGAGCUGACUUGGCGAAAAGGAUUAUCCAAAAUAAAAUGCCUACUAACUGGUAGGACUUUCUGGAGAGUGAGAGGAUGUGGCUCACAAAAUUGAAACAGCAAAGCAGAAUUUGGUCAAGUCCAAAACGUGAACACAGUAGCUAAAUCAGAAAACAUGGGAAGAUAUGAGGCCCUAGAAAGCAUCCAGGAGAUAGAGAAAGGGAAGGAAGAAGCGGAGAGGGAGUAGGACGGUUUCAUGAGAAGCCCUAAGUUCCUAAUGAUAAUUUUUAUUGGGUGCUAUGGCUCACUGGGAGGUCGGCCUGAUUUAAAGGCACCUCCGAAGGGCAGACAGUAUUUGAAGGAUGGUGGCAGAGAUCGGGCUCAAAUCCAGUCUACAGGGCCUUGCAAGUCUACACACUGCCCAUUCUGGACAUUCUCUGUCAAGCACAGAACUACUUGGUUUGUUGUUAAGCUGCUAGACUAUGUCCAAUGAGAAAAGAUUCAAUGCUUCAGUUGAUUUGGUAGGGAGAGGCUGUUUUCCUCUAAUAUUCCCACAUCCUAUCACUUAGAAAUAAAUAAAAACAACGAAAUGGGAAGUUGUGUUAUAAAUGGAUACAUAGUGAGAAGGAAAAAAAAAAAUACAGUUGAUGAAUGAUGAUAUCUCACACAGUUGAUAGUGAGGGAAAACCUUUCCAGAGAUAUAGUUUUCUCCUACACACCACCAAGGGAGAGUCAGGAAGCCAGCCAGUGGUACUCUUAGGUGAUUUUUUAGUGAGAUUACAGGGUCAGGGAGUUUCAAAUGGAUGUGUAGGAUUUGAAAUGAAGGCAGCACCUGGCAAUGCGUGCUGUCAGCUAAGAAUUUGAAAAUAAAGGCUGAGAUGUCCCUUCAUUGUCCACAACAGGAGUCUGUAAACGUUUUCUGUAAAGGUCCAGAUAGUAAAUAUUUUAGACUUUGCAGGUUAUCAAGUGUCUGUCUUAUAACUAAACUCUGUAUCGCAAAAGCCUCUAUAUAGACAAUAUGUAAAUGAACGGGGUAGCUAUGUGCCAAUUCAGCUUUAUUUACAGAGUCAGGUGGUGGGCUGGAUUUGGCCUAAGGACAAUAGUUUGUCAACUCCUGGUCUUGAAUACAAGAAAAGGGACAUGCGCGCAUAUGUAUAGAGUGGCAGAAUGAACCCUAGCAACUUUCAGUGUGAAAAACUUCAGACAUUUGAAGGAGAUUUGGUAACUAAACAAGACAAUCUAAAAGGCUCAACAAGAAACACUCAUUUCCCUCUUUUGGGAUGUCUGAGAUUGGAGGAGGAAAUUAAAAAUACAUAUCUGACAAUGAAGGGAAGAACAGUGCAGGACAUUUUAGGAAUGCAAAUCUGUGAAGCUGCGACAUGGCUUUGUAAAGAACAGAGACAGAAGAAAGGAGAAGUUUUAAGAGGCUCACCUGGAAAUGACAGAAAUAAAGGAAGUCCAAGUGAUGAGGAAGAAGGAAGUCAAAGUUAGAAUACGGCUUUGCUGGAGUGCUAGGAAGUGGAGAAGUGUGAAGGCAGCAAACAGCUUGGAACCGCAAAGAGGAGAGCAACAUUUUCCACAAAGACCUUGCAUUGCUUUUGAAAUGAAAUAAAAGCAUUAUAUUUUCUCUUACAAAGAAGAGAAUCCUGCUCAAGUUAACCUCAAAACAUAGGUGACCGAAAAAAAAAAAGGGACUUAA